UACGUAGGAGGCGAGCGUUGUCCGGAAUUACUGGGCGUAAAGCGCGCGUAGGCGGCCUUUUGCGUAGGCGGUGAAAGCCCCCGGCUCACCCGGGGGAGGUCCGUCUAAACGGGGAGACUCGAGGGCGGUAGGGGUUGGCGGAACGCCCGGAGUAGCGGUGAAAUGCGUUGAGAUCGGGCAGAACACCAGUGGCGAAGGCGGCCGACUGGGCCGUCCCUGACGCUGAGGCGCGAAAGCCAGGGGAGCGAACGGA
RNAcentral lists this ribosomal RNA (253 nucleotides) under uncultured bacterium. RNAcentral's name for it is "partial 16S ribosomal RNA". It matches the Rfam family "Bacterial small subunit ribosomal RNA", at positions 524 to 776 of the family's 1533-position model. The record is from RNAcentral.